This is a long non-coding RNA of Phasianus colchicus (ring-necked pheasant), 1312 nucleotides long. RefSeq lists it as uncharacterized. The record is from RefSeq and is a predicted model, not a curated record. NCBI's taxonomy places the organism in Eukaryota, Metazoa, Chordata, Aves, Galliformes, Phasianidae.
GCAUACCCAGGAUUUAUGCCCCUCCUAACAUUUCACCUGUUGCAUGAGCACUGGAGGGCAAAGGAUUUCACAGCCCUGGCAGCCUGGCUUCUCUGGACCCAACUCAAAACUUUGCUUCAAGCUCAUUGCAAUUUGUACAGCUCGAAUGAAGGCUCAGAUGAGCACUCCGGUCUGGCUGCUCAUCACUGCAUUUCACUUGGCAUGUAGGCUACGGAUGAGGAAUGCACAGAAUUUCCUUUUCCACCCCGUCAGAUCCUCUGUCUUGAGCCUGGCCCAGCCCCAAGAGCACAACGGAUGCAGCUGGAGAAGGGCAGGUCCAAUCUUGCUGCUCAGCUCCAGUGACACUUAACCUCCUCUGCUGCUGAGCUGCUUGCAGCUGGCAGUGGAUGCUAAUGAGCAUCAGCCUACUGAAAUGGCUCAUCAGGGAAGGAAGGGGAGCUGAUUUCUUUGACUGGAGAAGGCAAUAGAAGCUGGAGCUUUUGUGGGAGAAGGUGACCCUCAAUCUUAAUGAAGGUGGUCUUUGGUUUUGCAGCUUGGUUUUUCUAUUGCUGUUGAUCUGCUUGAGAAGGGAUCGGUGUCCUGCUACUUGUCUGCAGCAGCUGCCUCAUAUCUGCUACCUUAUGGACCCCUUCCAACUCAGGAUAUCCUAUGAUUCCUCCUCCAUCAUCCUUCUGCUGAACCUGGGACCUCCACAGUGAGCAGCUAAAGGCAUUCUGUGUCUACACCAGGGAGAAGAGAGAAGCUCUCUGUGAGGCCUGGAAAAGGGAUGGAGCCGCAGCAGAAGCAUUCCUGCUCAUAUCAGACAGCUGUGGAUGGCAAUGGGUCAUUUCACUCCAUUAUGGUUUCUGGCAAUUCUAGCUGCAUCAUCUGUCACAGAAAGAAGCAAAAUGACAAAGAGAGAAAAGAUCAGUAAAUUUUAAGCUGGAGAAGAAAGACCAUUCAACCCAAGGAGAAGCAGAUAAAUGGGGAAUCAUUACCUUCACUGCCCUCAUCUUCACACCAAGCUGCCUUGAGUGCCACUUGCCUGGGCGAUGUCACAAGAGAUGUGACCAUGUGAAACCAUGAGUCCUGUCCCCAUCUCCUGGAAGUGGAACCCCUGUGCUGGGGUUUGCUGGGACUGGGCUUGAUGUGGUGUGAUGGGGAAGCAGCCCCUGGCUGUGCUGCUCAGAGCCCAUCAGAUUCACUCCAAGCCAGGAAUUGGGCCGAAGUCUUCAAAGGUGAAAGGCUGAUCCACUUGCCACCCCCCCACCGUGCUGCUGAGUCCCUCUGCUUUGUGAAGGAGAUGCUGAAUUUGGGGAAAUCACUCCUGCAA